Molecule: long non-coding RNA, 770 nt
Organism: Raphanus sativus (radish)
Lineage: Eukaryota; Viridiplantae; Streptophyta; Magnoliopsida; Brassicales; Brassicaceae
Exons: 4
Source: RefSeq, a predicted model, not a curated record
ACGCGUCCUUAAUGCCACGCGUCAUCAUAAGACGCCGAUAAUCUUCUCCUCUCUUCUCUCAUGUCGAUCACUUCAUCUUCUCCCCUCUUCUCUCAUGUCGAUCACGGGAAGACCACACUCAUCUCAUGGACCGGCUUCUCCGUGGACCACACUCAUCUCACUUCAUCUUCUCCCCUCUUCUCUCAUGUCGAUGGGUUUGGUAGAAGCAGAGAAAUUGGGUUGAUAGAGAACCCAAUUAAACCCAACUAAACGGCGAUAAGAGCAAGAUUAUCUCUUUUUUUGCUCUUAUCAACAAAGGUACCAGAUUGGUCUUAAGUUUGUCUACUGGUAAUCUCAGUUCAGGUCCGUUUAAGUCAACGACUACAGAAUGGCAAAGGCUGGCUUGAGGAGAAAGGGCAUGGCACUCACAGCACUGGAACUGUGAUUGCUGUCAAGAAACUCAACUCUGAAAGCUUCCAAGGCUUUGAGGAAUGGCAAUGUGAGGUGAACUUUCUUGGGAGGGUUUCUCAUCCGAACCUAGUGAAGCUGUUGGGAUACUGUUUGGAAGGUGACGAGUUGCUUCUGGUGCUGUAAGAUGAAUCAACAGAAGUACCAAAAGGUUGUGGGUAACAAACUUGAAAGAACCUUGAUAGCUAGCUCUCCCCUGUUGAGCUACCAUCGUUAGCUAGAUGUGUUAAUAUUCCACUGAGCUCUGUUAUUACUGAUUCGAUACAAGCUUUUGAUUAGAAUUCUCCUGCAUGGUGAAAGCUCUUCUUCUUCCUCUGAUUCAA